CGGACACUCUUCAAGGUGCUGCAUGGUUGUCGUCAGCUCGUGCCGUGAGGUGUCGGGUUAAGUCCCAUAACGAGCGCAACCCUUACCGUUAGUUACCAUCAGGUUAAGCGUGGGGACUCUAGCGGGACUGCCACCGUAAGGUGAGAGGAAGGUGGGGAUGACGUCAAAUCAGCACGGCCCUUAUGUCCAGGGCUACACACGUGUUACAAUGGCCAGUACAAAGGGCAGCUACCGGGUGACCGGAUGCUAAUCUCUAAAGCUGGUCUCAGUUCGGAUCGAAGUCUGCAACCCGACUUCGUGAAGCUGGAUUCGCUAGUAAUCGCGCAUCAGCCAUGGCGCGGUCGAAUACGUUCCGGGCCUU
This 361-nucleotide ribosomal RNA is filed under the name uncultured Sphingobacteriales bacterium. Its description in RNAcentral is "bacterial SSU rRNA". It matches the Rfam family "Bacterial small subunit ribosomal RNA", at positions 1023 to 1382 of the family's 1533-position model. Lineage: Bacteria; Pseudomonadati; Bacteroidota; Sphingobacteriia; Sphingobacteriales. The record is from RNAcentral.